AGUUCUUCCAUAUCUAGAAAAGAUACGUGAACAAUGUAUUAAAUUUAGUACGCAUUACUUGAAUACUAAAUCAUUUACAUAUGAUUACUCUAUAUUUAAUUUGUAAAAGAAAAGAAAAUGAAAAAUUACUGUAAGAAAACAAAAAGUUGUUUUAAUAUUGAAUCCUUAUGUGUUGCUCUUUUGGUUGUCCAUAUUAGACAUAUACCCAAAUAUACGACACGUUGAAUUCUUAAGAACACAAUUUGCUAUGCAUCUUUAAUCUUGACAGCAUCAGUGGAAACUUUCAAACUAUAAUU
RNAcentral lists this long non-coding RNA (296 nucleotides) under Malus domestica (apple). RNAcentral describes it as "long non-coding RNA (MDOM_LNC002445)". Lineage: Eukaryota; Viridiplantae; Streptophyta; Magnoliopsida; Rosales; Rosaceae. The record is from RNAcentral.